AGGCCUAAUAAACCCGGACGGAGGAGUACCUCUCUAUUCAGGCAGCUAUUAUCAUGGCUUCAAAUUUGACGGCGUCAGGCAUCAGUCGGACAUGCAUCAAGUGAGUCAUUGGUAAAUAUACAAAACCUACCACAUUUUAGAUUAGUAGAUUACCACACCAACAGAGGAGAAACAGAUCGCCCGCGUCGCCUGGCCCUGGGCGACUCGGGCGGAACGCGGUUGCUAGCGCCGCCGCCGCUCCUUUCUACACGCCUCGCCGCGCCGCUGCCGGAGGACGUCGCUGGCAAAGCUCACGCGGCCGACGGCGGCGGCGGGGCGCCUUCUCGCGACAGCCUCCGAUCUGUAGGGCGGCAGCUUCGGGCGGCACGUCGGCGCGCGUCGGGACUCAGUUGGGUCGCGGCGACCGGCAACUGUUCUCGACAUCCUCCUGUGGGGCGUGGUGACGGCGACCGGCAACUGUUCUCGACGUCCUCCUGUGGGGCGUGGUGACGGCUACCGGCGGCAUGGCGGCGAGGCUGUGCCAGAGGCGUGGGGCCGGUGCAGCGCGACGGCCAGAUCCAUGCGCUUUGUGGCGGCAGUGCUCCUGCUAACCAUUGGAUUUUGGCCAUAGGGGCGCCUCGGUGGAUUUUGGCCGUGGUGUUGUGGCCAGGUUGGCUGCGGUGCCGUGGUUCUGUCUCGUGGACAGAUCUGUCUUUCUUGCUUCAGAUCCGGUCAUGUCUGCUUUUGGUCUAUAGGCCUGGAUAGGGCUCUCUUUGGCCAGAAGGCACUCAUCGGUGAUGUGCUCUGCCGACGGUGUUGGUCCAUGUGAUGGUCACUCUGGUCGGCGGUUGCCUCAUUGCGGAUUGCGAUGGCCAUCGAAAGAUCUUCGCGGGGAUUACUCUCUUCAGAUCUGGUGGUUUCAUCCAGCGACAAGAUGCAAUCGAUGGACAACGACUUGACGCAGAGGACAAGAUACAACGGCGAGCAGCUGCUAGGAUCGUGGAAAAGCGGUGGCGACAACAUAUGAUUGACUUCAAUGGUGGUGCUUUCGAGUACCCGGUCUCGAGCUCCGAGGUGAAGACCUAUGUCUGACACGAGUGGUCAUACAUGGCAAAGAGCCCGACCUUUGGUGGUUGGAUCCGGUGACGGCGACGCUCGAGCAUCGCUCCCUUCAUGAAGGUGUUGCUGUUGAAGAACCCCAUUAUCCUUAUGGUGUGAUGAGAUGGUUCUUGUGGAUAUGGUCAUUGUUGUAGUUUGUCGAUCGUGGAUUUGUUCGCUUCGGGUUUUUUUUCUCGCUUAGGCAUAGCUUUGGUCUUAUAUGACUUUGUUAUUUGCUAGCGGGUUUUUGUGUGUGUUGGUGUUGGUUGUGUGCAUCUUAGUUAUGCAGAGGCCGGGUGUGUUCUCAUCGUGUUUGUAUCAACUUGAUGCUUCAUUUUGAGUUAAUAAAAUCCAAUCUUUGUCAAAAAAA
This is a long non-coding RNA of Triticum aestivum (bread wheat), 1447 nucleotides long. RefSeq lists it as uncharacterized. NCBI's taxonomy places the organism in Eukaryota, Viridiplantae, Streptophyta, Magnoliopsida, Poales, Poaceae. The transcript is spliced from 2 exons. The record is from RefSeq and is a predicted model, not a curated record.